Triplophysa dalaica is the source of this 137-nucleotide small nucleolar RNA. RefSeq annotates it as small nucleolar RNA SNORD10. Lineage: Eukaryota; Metazoa; Chordata; Actinopteri; Cypriniformes; Nemacheilidae. The record is from RefSeq and is a predicted model, not a curated record. The transcript has a single exon.
GUUUUGUGAUGAUUCCCAUGCGUGUCAUAUGAUCCUUGACCCCCUGCUGUACUCUGUGUCUGUUAAGCGUUUUGCUCUGCAGUACAUCGGAGUCUGUAGACUCAAGGAAUAUGAUCAUGACUGUCAAGUCUGAAAAC